RNAcentral lists this ribosomal RNA (425 nucleotides) under uncultured Caryophanaceae bacterium. RNAcentral's name for it is "bacterial SSU rRNA". It matches the Rfam family "Bacterial small subunit ribosomal RNA", at positions 356 to 774 of the family's 1533-position model. The record is from RNAcentral. Lineage: Bacteria; Bacillati; Bacillota; Bacilli; Caryophanales; Caryophanaceae.
AGGGAAUCUUCCACAAUGGACGGAAGUCUGAUGGAGCAACGCCGCGUGAGUGAUGAAGGUUUUCGGAUCGUAAACUCUGUUGGAAGGGACAGACCAGGAAGGCAGGCAACUGAACUAACUUUGACGUUCCUUAUUAGGAAGGCAACGCCAACUUACUGCCAGCAGCCGCGGUAAUACGUAGGUGGCAAGCGUUGUCCGGAAUUAUUGGGCGUAAAGCGCGCGCAGGUGGUUUCUUAAGUCUGAUGUGAAAGCCCACGGCUUAACCGUGGAGGGUCAUUGGAAACUGGGAGACUUGAGUGCAGAAGAGGAAAGUGGAAUUCCAAGUGUAGCGGUGAAAUGCGUAGAGAUUUGGAGGAACACCAGUGGCGAAGGCGACUUUCUGGUCUGCAACUGACGCUGAGGCGCGAAAGCAUGGGGAGCAAACA